This is an RNA transcript of Nymphaea colorata (pocket water lily), 3486 nucleotides long. It is a transcript of the gene named disease resistance protein RPV1-like, with no coding region annotated. NCBI's taxonomy places the organism in Eukaryota, Viridiplantae, Streptophyta, Magnoliopsida, Nymphaeales, Nymphaeaceae. The transcript has 7 exons. The record is from RefSeq and is a predicted model, not a curated record.
CCUGGGUAGAGAUAUUGUCACGCAAGAAAGCCCUUCGGAUCCUUGGUUGCACAGCAGAUUGUGGGAUGCUGAUGAUAUAUUACAUGUAUUGCAGAAUCCCAGGGAAGAAUGCAGUCAUGUCGAAGGCAUCAUGCUUAACUCGUAUUCUACUAUGAAGAGUUUGAGGACUGAUGCUUUGAGUAAAAUGCCAAAUCUUAGGCUGCUUCAAAUCCAUCACGCUGCAGUGGAAGGUCAUUUUUUGAAACUUCCCAAGGAAAUGAAGUGGUUGGAACUUACAUGGUGUAGAUUGCUGUCUUUAGAAGAAGCUGUUCACGUUGGAGUACUAGGGAUGACUAAGGGUCCUUCAUCUCAGCAACUGUGAGAGCCUCACUUCAACGCCUGAUUUUUCUGGUAUCCCAAGCUUGGUAAGACUGACUCUUGAUGGCUAUGUUAAGUUGAUGGAAGUCCAUGUUUCUAUCAAGCAUCUUAAAUUACUGAAGUUCUGGAGCAUGAGAUCCUGUGCUUCCCUGAAGGAACUGCCAGCAGAAGUCUCUGCAUUGAGCUCUCUGGAAAUUCUAAUCCUUUCAUUCUGCUUCUUCCUUGAGACUUUACCAGAAGGAUUGGGAGACAUGAAAGCACUAACAGUGCUUAUCCUUAAAAAUACUCGAGUUAAGGAGCUACCUAAUUCAGUGACACAGCUAAAAAGACUUUCUAAGCUGUCUUUGAAGGAGUGCAAGUUACUGAUAGAAUUGCCAGACCUAAUUGGCAAAUUGGAGUCCUUAAAGGAUCUUAUAAUAGCAGGUACGAGAUUAGAAACCAUACCUAACUCCAUUGGAGAUAUUGGAAAUCUCCAAACACUGGAUGCUACAUCUUGCACGUCACUGUCUGCACUGCCAGAAUCCAUUGGCAGACUGAAAAAAUUAAGGUGGCUGAAGUUAGACCAAACAGGCAUACAGGAGCUGCCUGAUUCUAUUGGGUUCCUGGAGGAACUUGACACAAUGUUCAUGAGUGGUGGAAAACUUAAAGUUCUGCCAUCCUCUUUUGGACGGUUGAGGAAUUUGGUUAGGUUGGAAAUCCCAGGGCCAGUAUUUUCGAAUCGUCCUGAAAACAUGGUGAACUUACAAAAUCUGAUGGUUCUGAACCUAAGCGAAAAUGGGGAAAAUUUCAAUUCUUGGUAUAUAUCUUACCUUGAUUUUGAGAAUUUGCCGUCACUGAAAUCCUUGAUAUUAGAUGGCAAUUACUUCGAUCAACUGCCAUUAAGCAUCGGCAAACUCUCGUGGCUUGAGGAGCUCUCCAUAUGUGGGUGUGAAGGCAUUCAUUAUCUCCCUCAAUUGCCAUCUUCUUUAAAAAGUCUUUCUGCCAGACUUUGUACUCAACUGAAGGCUUUCUGGGACAUGUCGAACUUAAAGCACCUGAGGAAACUGGAUCUAAGCGGAUGCCGUGCACUCUUAAAAAUUUAUGGUCAUCAACAUCUGGAAUCCAUAGAAGAAAUAGAUCUGAGGUGUUGUCUGCAACUUGAACGAGAAUUUAAUAUCAUGUGUCAGAAGGAAGAGGAAGAAUUGCAGUGGUCCUACAUUUCCAAUCCAAAUGAACCUAUCAAACUAAUCAUAGAAUUCCCAGAUCCACACUGCGGGAGAAUGCCAUCUAUAGGUGUUCUUGUUUAUGCCAUGGUGGGUCCGGAAGUAAUCUUUUGAGUCACAACGGAGGGCUGAUGAAUACACGUGCCAAAAUGAAACAACAGAGGGGAUCGGUACUUCUGAAUUUGAGGACCAUUUCUAUGCCAUCAGUAUUGAAAAGGAUGAUGAACUAUUUAAGUAUAUAGGAGAUGUAGGCACCAGCUUACAUGUUCGUCUUGGUUUGCAAGAUCUCAGAUCGCCCGAAAUGAAACAACAGAGGGGAUCGGCACUUCUGAAUUUGAGGACCAUUUCUAUGCCAUCAGUAUUGAAAAGGAUGACGAACUAUUUAAGUGUAUAGGAGAUGUAGGCACCAGCUUACAUGUUCGUCUUAGUUUGCAAGAUCUCAGAUCGAGGCAUAGUGGAAGAACAACGUUCAAGCAAUUGAGACAGUUCUAUAUUGCUAGUAGAUCGUUUUCUGAUUCUGAAUGUGGAGAAGGGAAAUUCUUUUUCUCUUUUAUGAUACCAAAAUCCCCAGGAAGCAUUUCUCAAGUAUAUAUCAGGGAAGUGGUCCUAAGCUUUAAGGAAGGGGACGAAAACAUGACACUGUUAAGGAAUUCCUUUGUCGUGUACCUUAAAGUGAUGGUACAAGGCAUGCUAGUUUUUGAGACCACAAAUUUCUGUGACAAGAUUAAAGAUUCCAAGGAGGACGAUGACUCAAUGUUGGGAUCUCCUCUCAAAUCAACAGCUAGAUCUUGGCAGGUCAAAUUUGGUGGGGAUGAUAAAAUUCACAGGGUUUUGGAGAGGGCACCUGCUGUGCUGCAUGUCUCCACAUGUUUUGAUUUUUGGCGUGACAGACUGGCGCCGGUUAUCCUUCCUAGAUCACAUUGUCAUGUUUAUGAGAUGCUAGGUUCACCGCUGGUGCGUGCUUCACAUCAACCUCCUGUUUGGGCUCAUGUAUCCGUUCAAUAUUCUUCUCUUGACUAUUAUGACGAAGCUGUUCCUGGCAUGAGCAACUAACAGAUCAAAAGGCUUCCACGGCUCACUGCACGUUAGGAGGCAUUGCUUGCUCUCCCUGGGGGGCACAUCAAGCUUCCAGAUCGUGAAAGAAGACAAAUAUGUGGACUGUUGACAUCUCACUACGGGAAAUAACAUCUUCAGUGGCAUCGGAGGACCCCGGUGCCAAUGAAGAACCGUUUUUGUGGCGUGGAGGGCAGACUACCAUUGAUGACUCCGUCUGUGGCGCUUGGUAAAAUAUGCCAUGGCUCUUUGAUGAACGUGACUCCAUGCUAUGCCAUUAAAGACCCGAACCAUAUCCCAACGGCCACCCUGUGCUGUUGGCGACCGAACCAUGGAUGAAAGACUGAUUUUGACGACGGGGCUUCGGUAAUGAAUAGAAGGAUAAAUUUCUCCUUCUCCUUCUUGCCCCAAAACUCCAUUGCGAGGUUCCUUCUAUGAUCCAUCGGCUUCCUUUUGUGCAUAAGGCCCUUUCGUGCAGACCCUCCACCGCGGAGGAGGAGAGUGGACUCUUUUUUUUUGCUGCGGCUCAGAUCGAGUUCGUUUUGUUCUCAUCGAUCGUUCACAACAGGAAAAUGGGAGAAAGGGCUAGACUUGGUAAGACAUCACUACUUUUGUCAAUAAGAGGAAAGGAUGGAGCACCUUCUGCGAAACUGCCCUUGUUCCAAGUUGUUCUCAACCUACCUGGUUAGACAGAAGGUGGGAAGAUAAAAAAUUAGUGGAGAAAGGAGAUGGAGAUGGAGAUGAAGAUGGAAGUAGUAGUAGUAAGAAAAUUAUUUAACGUUUUGUGUAUGUGAUUGUAACAAUCUUUUUCUUAAUUAGCAAUAUAAAAGAAUAUGUUAUUAAUUCAAAAGGCACAUGGUUUUGUAAUGCUGGC